This 474-nucleotide ribosomal RNA is filed under the name uncultured stramenopile. Its description in RNAcentral is "SSU rRNA". It matches the Rfam family "Eukaryotic small subunit ribosomal RNA", at positions 451 to 924 of the family's 1831-position model. The record is from RNAcentral.
CUGACACAGGGAGGUAGUGACAAUAAAUAACAAUGCCGGGCUCUUUCGAGUCUGGCAAUUGGAAUGAGAACAAUUUAAAUCCCUUAUCGAGGAUCAAUUGGAGGGCAAGUCUGGUGCCAGCAGCCGCGGUAAUUCCAGCUCCAAUAGCGUAUAUUAAAGUUGUUGCAGUUAAAAAGCUCGUAGUUGGAUUUCUGGUGGGCGCGACCGGUCCGCCCCGCAAGGGGUGAGCACUGGCGUCGCCGUCCGCCAUCUUUGGGGAGAGGGCGUUGGGCAUUCAGUUGUUCGGCGUCGGAUCCCCAUCGUUUACUGUGAGAAAAUUAGAGUGUUCAAAGCAGGCUUACGCCUUGAAUACAUUAGCAUGGAAUAAUAGUCGAGGCUUUCGGUCUGACUUGUUGGUUUUGCAGCCCGAGAGAAUGAUUCAAUAGGGAUAGUUGGGGGUAUUCGUAUUCAAUUGUCAGAGGUGAAAUUCUUGGA